CUCAGGAUGAACGCUAGCGGCAGGCUUAAUACAUGCAAGUCGUGGGGCAGCAUGAGUAGCAAUACUUGAUGGCGACCGGCAAACGGGUGAGGAACACGUACACAACCUUCCUUCAAGCGGGGAAUAGCCCAGAGAAAUUUGGAUUAAUACCCCAUAAUAUAUUUGAUAAGGCAUCUUAUUAAUAUUAAAGCUUCGGCACUUGAUGAUGGGUGUGCGGCUGAUUAGAUAGUUGCGGGGUAACGGCCCACCAAGUCUACGAUCAGUAGCUGAUGUGAGAGCAUGAUCAGCCACACGGGCACUGAGACACGGGCCCGACUCCUACGGGAGGCAGCAGUAAGGAAUAUUGGACAAUGGACGAAAGUCUGAUCCAGCCAUGCCGCGUGAAGGAUUAAGGUCCUCUGGAUUGUAAACUUCUUUUAUAUGGGACGAAAAAGGGCAUUCUUGUUCACUUGACGGUACCAUAUGAAUAAGCACCGGCUAACUCCGUG
RNAcentral lists this ribosomal RNA (488 nucleotides) under uncultured bacterium. RNAcentral describes it as "bacterial SSU rRNA". It matches the Rfam family "Bacterial small subunit ribosomal RNA", at positions 23 to 507 of the family's 1533-position model. The record is from RNAcentral.